Molecule: long non-coding RNA, 1078 nt
Organism: Ictalurus punctatus (channel catfish)
Lineage: Eukaryota; Metazoa; Chordata; Actinopteri; Siluriformes; Ictaluridae
Exons: 2
Source: RefSeq, a predicted model, not a curated record
GCACCACGUCCACCAGGAAAAGCAGCAGAGACAGCACCGACAACAAGACGUCUGAGAGCAGUAAAUUAAAAGGAAAUCCUUCCUCCAUGGCAAGACCUCGACUGUUUCCUGAGAAGCCAAGCGCAGCUUUGGGGUUUAUCUCUGCUAUAUAAAAAGCGCAAACCUGAGGAAGACUCCGAGCUGGCAGAUGUGCACCGGAGCCAGUAAACCGUGUCUGCUGACGAAUCUCUCCACUUUGGUCUCCAGGGUUAUGGAGGAAUCGGAGUACCAGAGCCAGCUGAAGAUAUGCAGGACAACCGAGGAACCGAGCAGAAGAGAGAUCAACAGUCCCAUGGAGAAGUAUUUCCUUUCUUCAUAAAGGCACUCUACGGCCCACAGGUCCAGCACCACGUCCGCCAGGAAAAAGAGCAGCGACAGCCCCGAAAACAAGACGUUUAAGAGCACUACACUGAAUGGAAAUCCUUCCUCCAUGGCACGAGCUCGGAUGUUUUCUGAGUAUUCAAGCACGAGCUUGGGAACAUGAAAUGAAAACCAAUCCAGUUUUUAAUUAUACCUGAGGCUGCCUGAGAGACACCUCCCUCUAUUGCGUAACAUCGCCGUGAUUGUUGAGAAUGAAUCAUGCGGUGGGGGGGGGGGGGGGGGGGGGGGUGGCGUCUGGGAGGGGGUGUCACAAGGUAAAAGAACUGACACACAUUAAAUACACACAACAACCAGACUAUAUUAUAUAUAACCAGACUAUGAAACUAUAUAUUGGCAUACAUACUCGAGAGUGUACACAUGCAUUACUUUUUAAAUAAUCUAGGAUUGAACAGCAGUAAAACUGGAAAAUCACAUUCAUAGGUCCCGCCCACCUCCAGGAGAGGAAUGUGCACGCCGAUGGACGCGACAAAGGGAACAAGACAGAGCAGGAACUAUUUUGACUACCCCAUUAUCUUUUCCCCCACACUGCUGCUGAACGCUCAAACUGGUCAGAAGGUGUUUUUCCUAUAACUGCAGCUCUGACUAGUUUUGGCUGUAAUUCCACUCUAAGGUUAAAAAUAAAUGGCGUUUAAAACGUGGUGUUGUUUUGCACAGAAAA